GAUAAUGUUUGACCAUUAAAAAGCAUGAUAUCUGGACGCUAAAACUAAUUAAUUAAAAAAAAGGGCGCUAACCUUUCCCUCUUAAUUUUUUCCAAUACACUGGACCACCACCACCCCCCGCCGGGACCCCAAACAAAAGAAAAUCCCUCACAUUCUCUCUGUUGCGAUUUUCUCCAACCCACCAUCGAAUAAAUGAAAGAAAACCCCUUAUAUUCUGCACAAAAUUUACAGUUACUGAGCACGGAGCAACUCAGGGAAGAAUCACAUACGAUUUUGGAGUCCUCGCUGCGACUAAUCUUCCGUUUCUGUUGAAGUGGUCUAGGGUUCCGUUUCUGUUGAAGUGGUCUAGGGUUCCGUUUCCGUUGAAGUGGUCUAGGGUUUCGUCCACCUUCUCAUCAAGAUCAAGAAUCAAAGUUGAAGAACCUGUCCUUGAAGAAAGUGUAGAGCAAGUUGAAGUGGAGAGGUUUUUGUUUUGUUUUGUUAGGGAUGGUUCGAAGACGAUGUCUUAUGUACAUAUUCCUCACUUUUGUUCUCUCAUUUUAGAAACUGAUAAAAAUGAUGUCGAACAAUUUGGAUGGAUAUUUUAUGGUACAUGAUGUUUUAGUUCUUUGUAUUAACAAUGAAAAUUUAUAUGAAUAUAGAUUAUUGUUCUA
Long non-coding RNA from Lycium barbarum (goji berry), 653 nucleotides. RefSeq lists it as uncharacterized. NCBI's taxonomy places the organism in Eukaryota, Viridiplantae, Streptophyta, Magnoliopsida, Solanales, Solanaceae. The record is from RefSeq and is a predicted model, not a curated record. The transcript has 2 exons.